UGUGUCUCAGUUCUUGCAACCAGCUGUUGAACUCAAAGACAACAGAAAAUGAUUUCAUCAUCCUGGCACACUGGUGACCACAUUGGAAAAGGCCAGGAGAUCCAUGCUGUCAUUGUCAGGAAGGGGUAAAAACAUAGUGGAAGAUAUUAAAAACUAAAAGAGAAUGCCGAGGUAGAGAAUCCCCCAAAGCAGCAGCCAUCUUGCUAGGUGCUGGAAAUAAAAACACAACAAACCAAGCAAUCCAUGACCUCAAGGAGUUUGUAUUCAAUUUGGAAUAAACAGCACAUUCACAAUUAGUAUAUUUAUCCUCGUGCACGCUCACCUGCACAAAUGAUCCGGUCGAAUCUGCACUCAAUGACCAGGAUUUCACAUCCCUAGAAGAUGGGCAGUUGGAGUCCCUAUCUGAAGAAGAAAAGGCAUCCUUUCCUUCUCCGAGAGCUAAUUCAUUAUUCCCAAAAUCAGAUCUAGAGUUGGAAGAAAGCUCAAGAACACAACCUUUUUCUUUAUAUUAUCCUGUGGUCUAUAUUCACAU
This is a long non-coding RNA of Antechinus flavipes (yellow-footed antechinus), 532 nucleotides long. RefSeq lists it as uncharacterized. NCBI's taxonomy places the organism in Eukaryota, Metazoa, Chordata, Mammalia, Dasyuromorphia, Dasyuridae. The transcript is spliced from 3 exons. The record is from RefSeq and is a predicted model, not a curated record.